RNAcentral lists this ribosomal RNA (551 nucleotides) under uncultured bacterium. RNAcentral's name for it is "bacterial SSU rRNA". It matches the Rfam family "Bacterial small subunit ribosomal RNA", at positions 147 to 710 of the family's 1533-position model. The record is from RNAcentral.
CUCCUGGAAACGGGUGGUAAUGCCGGAUGCUCCGACUCCUCGCAUGGGGUGUCGGGAAAGAUUUCAUCGGUAUGGGAUGGGGUCGCGUCCUAUCAGGUAGUCGGCGGGGUAACGGCCCACCGAGCCUACGACGGGUAGCCGGCCUGAGAGGGCGACCGGCCACAUUGGGACUGAGAUACGGCCCAGACUCCUACGGGAGGCAGCAGUGGGGAAUAUUGCACAAUGGGCGCAAGCCUGAUGCAGCGACGCCGCGUGCGGGAUGACGGCCUUCGGGUUGUAAACCGCUUUUGAUCGGGAGCAAGCCUUCGGGUGAGUGUACCUUUCGAAUAAGCACCGGCUAACUACGUGCCAGCAGCCGCGGUAAUACGUAGGGUGCAAGCGUUAUCCGGAAUUAUUGGGCGUAAAGGGCUCGUAGGCGGUUCGUCGCGUCCGGUGUGAAAGUCCAUCGCUUAACGGUGGAUCUGCGCCGGGUACGGGCGGGCUGGAGUGCGGUAGGGGAGACUGGAAUUCCCGGUGUAACGGUGGAAGGUGUAGAUAUCGGGAAGAACACC